Molecule: long non-coding RNA, 2290 nt
Organism: Talpa occidentalis (Iberian mole)
Lineage: Eukaryota; Metazoa; Chordata; Mammalia; Eulipotyphla; Talpidae
Exons: 4
Source: RefSeq, a predicted model, not a curated record
GUCAGAGAAAAGGAGGAAAACAAGGCUGGAACCUUGGGACCACCCCCCUCCCCAACAUUCAGAGGUCAAAGCAGUAAGACGCCAGCAGAGGAACCGGAGUUCUGAAAGGGGAGAGAGGGCUCUGAGGAGGAGGAAGCUGACAGCUGUGUCUUCUGCUACUGAUUAGUCAAGAAAAAUGAGGAAUGACCACUGACCAUAGGAUUUAGCAACUUGGAUGUCACUGUUGGCCUUGAUGGAAAAUUUUGGUGAACACUAUGGUCAGCUGAAUGAAGAAACCAUUAUAUCCACGUGCUCACUGUUUUUAUGCUUGAAAGGGAAGGAAAACAGUCAGAAGAAAGACACUAAGCUUCCUCAAGGGAAGGAUACAGAUAUAGAAUGUCUUUGCUUGGGCUCUUCAAGAAGUAGACCUUGAGCCAAGGAUUUGAGUGACGUAGUUUAUUUCACACCACGAAGCACUUAUUGGGCAGUAGGAACUGAGACAGAGAGAGAAGGAGCCAAUAAAGCAGAUGAUAUGAUAUCACAACAAUUACCACUGUGGCUGGUUGUCAUACUUGACAAGAAAGAUGGUUUGCAAGACAAGCGAUAGGCCCCAUUUCUCCAACUGGCUCUACGGUCACAAUUGAUGUUGAUCAUAUCAUUAGUAUAUUCAUUCCAGACAAUAAUCGUUCUUGUCCAACACUCUUGCCACUCUGUGGGGUAACCGCACCUUCGUCCCUGGUCAUUGUGUUCUGGCCAGACUAUAAUUACUCCUAUUGCCCAAACUGGUUGUCAUUAGACAGGGGAACCAAGGUGGGAAUCUUGGUUUAAAGAAAAGUGAAUAGUCUAAGAGAUCGUCAGGCAUACCAACAUUUGCAUAAUGGGAGUCCUAGAUGAGAGCAGAAAGGGAAAGGAGCAGAAAGAAUAUUUGAAGUAACAAAGGUCCAAAAAAUAUGCCAAGUUUGAUGCAAGACAUAAAUAUGCACAUCUAAGAUCUCAAUGGACCUCAAGGUUCUCACUGAGACACAUAAUAAUUAAACUGUUGAAAGCCAAAAGAAGAAUCCUGAAAGCACUGAGAGAAAUGACUCAUCAAACACAAGUCAUCCUUGAAAAUAUAAACAGUUUAUCAUGAGAAAUCAGAGGUCAAAAGUAGUCAGAUGACAUUCAAAAUAUUGAAAGAAAAAAAUGAUCAACCAGGUAACUAUCCUUCAAAAAAUAAAAGAGAAACGAAGUCAUUUCCAGAUAUCCUAAAACUGAGAGAGUUCACUGCUAGUAAACUUAACCUACAAGAAAUGCUAAAGGAGAUCCUUCUGAUUGAAAUGCAAUUGUCACACUGGGAGCCAUUUUCCCUAUCAGAAGUUUAGCUCCCAUUGCUCUAGCCUCUUGGAUAACCUCCAAGGUCAUAGAUAUGCCUCCAUCCCAGCCUUGGGGCAGGGCAUCCCUGCCAGGUCCACAGGCAUCUAGGAGGCAGUCAGUUCAGGUCUAGUCCAUUUCUACCUGAAGGAAUUCCAAAAGCACAUUCUGGGUAAUCAGCACGGGACAGGCUCUUUGCCUGUUCUGCCACACUCUUACCUCAAGGUCAUGAGCUGCUCACUUCCCGAGUCUGACUCGGGCUGUCCUCUGUAGCCUGAGGGAUUCCAUCAGUCCCCCAGUUUUGGCAUGCUACUAGCUACAGCUAUUCCUCACGGGACUCCAGGAAGAGAUUUGAAUCAGUAAACCUCAAUUUAUCCAAUAUCACCUCCACUUUCUGAGCUCAACUUUUCUGUCAGAAAAGUAGGAUGCAUCCCUACCUUUAAACCAAGAUUCCUACCUUGGUUCCCAUGUAAUCUACCUGAUGGAACCCCAGAAUUGCAUGACUGCGGACACAAUGGAAAGAACAUGGAACUUGAGUUUGACUACUGGCUCUGUCAUGCAAGACAAGUUACUCUAUCUCUCUAGAAGAUUUUCCUUUGAGGAGUAGACAUAUGGCACACGUUUUGGAGAAUUUUAGAGCUUCACCACAUGUACAGUAUUCAGGUCGCAUGACAUUGAAAGGGACUAGAACUCCUGAAUCUCAGGAUUGGAGAAUGGAAUGGUCCUUAGUUCAACCCCUCUUCAAUAUUCUUUACCCCACCCUUUGCUGAGGUUCAUUCAGCAACUUCUCACCUCCAAUGUGGGGAGCUCACGAGACACAAAGGUGAGUCAUUUUUCAUCAUCCACCCAGUUGCCAAUUAGUUGUGUGGCUGCACUUUAAAAAAAUGUCAUUCAAAAGCAACGAAAACGCUUCUCUCAUGGGUAAGCCAUCUGUGAAUAAAAGCUCCAAAGAACCACAGUU